Molecule: ribosomal RNA, 118 nt
Filed under: Nicotiana sylvestris (wood tobacco)
Lineage: Eukaryota; Viridiplantae; Streptophyta; Magnoliopsida; Solanales; Solanaceae
Source: RNAcentral
GGAUAUGAUCAUACCAGCACUAACGCACCAGGUCUCAUCAGAACUCUGAAGUUAAGUUGCUUGGACGAGAGCAGUACUAGGAUGGGUGACUCACUAGGAAGUCCUCGUGUUGCAUCCC